CUACGGGACGCAGCAGUGAGGAAUAUUGCACAAUGGGGGGAACCCUGAUGCAGCAACGCCGCGUGGAGGAUGACGCAUUUCGGUGUGUAAACUCCUUUUAUAUGUCAAGAAAACGACGGUAGCAUAUGAAUAAGCACCGGCUAACUCCGUGCCAGCAGCCGCGGUAAUACGGAGGGUGCAAGCGUUACUCGGAAUCACUGGGCGUAAAGGACGCGUAGGCGGGUUGGAAAGUCAGGUGUGAAAUCCUACAGCUUAACUGUAGAACUGCACUUGAAACUUCUAAUAUAGAGUAUGGGAGGGGGAGAUGGAAUUAGUGGUGUAGGGGUAAAAUCCGUAGAUAUCAAUAGGAAUACCUAAAGCGAAGGCGAUCUCCUGGAACAUUACUGACGCUAAGGCGUGAAAGCGUGGGGAGCAAACAGGAUUAGAUACCCGAGUAGUC
This 439-nucleotide ribosomal RNA is filed under the name uncultured bacterium. RNAcentral describes it as "partial 16S ribosomal RNA". It matches the Rfam family "Bacterial small subunit ribosomal RNA", at positions 339 to 795 of the family's 1533-position model. The record is from RNAcentral.